Molecule: long non-coding RNA, 4676 nt
Filed under: Sus scrofa (pig)
Lineage: Eukaryota; Metazoa; Chordata; Mammalia; Artiodactyla; Suidae
Description: lncRNA (ENSSSCG00000054681.1)
Source: RNAcentral
GUCUUUUUAGGGCCGCACCUGCAGCAUAUGGAUGUUCCCAGGCUAGGGUUCCAAUCGGAGUCAUAGCCACCAGCCUACACCACAGCCACAGCAACUCAAGAUCUGAGCCACGUCUGCGACCACAGUUCACGGCAAUGCCAGAUCCUUAACCCUCUGAGCAAGGCCAGGGAUCAGACCCGUGUCCUCAUGGUUGCUAGUCGGGUUCAUUAACUGCUGAACCAUGACGGGAACUCCUUCUCUGUGUGUAUUUGAGCACAUGCCCCUAUGCUGGCCAUUCCUGGAGCUGGUCCCUCCAAAGAUCAUGACACCUUGGGCCCUCCUGAUGGAGACCCCUUGGAAAACUUAUUUCAAGGGAACAGAGAAGGACAGCAUCCUAGACAAGAAGAGGUUGGCUUGGGAUCUCUAAUCCCAGAAUCCUCAGCCUGCCACAGAUGUCUCAGAGGCCCCUGUAGUGCAGAGGGUCUUCCAUACAAACCAGCAUCCUUCAAUGUGCCCUCAGCUUUGGCCUCAAGCCCCUUUAGUCACAUCCUGCCCACUUGCUAACCCAAUGACAAAAGAGAGAAUGUGACCCUGGGUCUCAGGAAAUGACUGGCCUCAAGGCACACAUGUCAUGUUCAGUGUAUAGUUGACACUGUUCUUAUGGGAAAUAAAUUUUUUUUUACAUUCUUAAGUAUUUUAUUCUACUUCUUUUUUCUUUCUUUCUUUCUUUUUUUUUUGGCCACAUCCUUGGCUGGUGGAUGUUCCUGGGCUGGGAAUUGAACCCAAGCCAUAGCAGUGACCUGAGCCAUAGCAGUGACAAUGCCAGAUCAUUAGCCUUCUGAGCCACCAGGGAACUCCUUGUUCCACUUCUUCAUACCACUUUGUUUUAAUAUAAAACAAGGCCGCCUACCACCACUACUGCUCUGAGGCGGGGGGGUUGCCCUUCUACUCUGGGCUACACUCUUGUACCCUACGUGGUUGGCAUACCCCAGGUGGGGAGGCCAGGCCCUGGGGUGUUCCGACCCUUCCUCUGAAAGGUCUGAGGCCUAGUGCCUAGGCCCAUAGAAACCCACAGACUCCAGAAUGGCAUUUCAUCCUUGUCCUUGGGGUGGCGAGACAGAAAGGAACUUGAGUUUCCCCGACAGAUUGAGCUGGGUCAGAGAAGCAGGCGAUCCUGCCACCACUCCUGCAAUCUAGGCUUGUGGCCGAGGUUGGGGAUUGCAAUGUGAUGUUCUUUCCAUAGGUAUGAAUAGGGACAUGGAUUUCUAUGCUCAGGUGGCCGUGACAAGUUGACCAGAGGUGGCAGGUGUGAUGACAUCUAUUUGUCAUGCAACAGUGGCAUUGAUAGCCAAAUGUGCUGGAAGUGUAUGGCCAUCUCUGUCACAUCCUGCUCUCUCUGGAGACACUGUCUUCUCCUUGGUGCAGGUGGAGCUCCCUGUGUUCUAGAAGACCGCAAAUCGACUGGACGUAUCUGUCAUGCCUCCCCCACUUGCCCAGAGCAGAUACGGCUGAUCAAUCCUGACAUUCUUUCCCACGCAGCCAGAAUCCUCAACAAUUGCCUGGAGUGGGCUCACGAAAUGGUGUUUUGUUGGGUGUGUAGACAGUAAGAAGAUGAGGUGUUUUAAGCCACAGGAGUAAGAUGACGGCCCCCUCACCUUUCUGCAUGCCCCUCCUACAAACCAUAGGGACACUGAUAAAAUCUGUCCCUGUGCAGCCCAACAUGUCCCCAGACUUGCUAAAGACAGAAGUGCAAGCAAGCUCUUUGUUGUGACCUCCAGGUUGUCCCGAUGCAGUGUUGCCAGUGGGCCUCGGGAGCUCACCUGUGCCCACCUGGGGCUGCCUACAUUGAAUCAGGUGGAACUUGUACAACCAGGUCAUCCGUAUUAAUCUCUUGGGGUAUCGAAACAAAGUAUUACAAGCUGAGUGGGUUAAACACAGAAACUUAUUUUCACACAGUUCUGGAGGCAAAAGUCAGAUCAAGGUGUCAGCAGGGUUGGUUUCCUCGGAGGCAUCGCUCCUUGGCAUGUAGACGGCUGCCUUCUCCCUGUGUGCUCACGUGGUCUUCCCUCUAAUUGCGCUUGUGUCCUAAUCUCCUCUUUUAUUUAUUUAUUUUUUUUGUUGUUGUUCUUUGUUUUUGCUUUUUAGGGCUACACCCUCGGAAUAUGAAGGUUCCCAGGCUAGGGGUCCAGUCAGAGCUGUAGCUGCCAGUCUAUGCCAGAGCCACAGCAAUGCCAGAUCCAAGCAGCAUCUGCAACCUACAACACAGCCUAUGGCAAUGCCAGAUCCUUAACCCACUUAACCCAUCAGGGAUCAAACCUGCAUCCUCAGGGAUGCUAGUCAGAUUCCUUAACCACUGAGCCACAAGGGAACUCCCUAAUCUCCUCUUCUUACAAGAACUCUAGCCAUGUUGGGUUAGGGCCACCCUUUGACUUCCUUUUACCUUGGUUACCUCUUAAAAGGCCCAAUCUCCAAAUAUGGGCAUAUUCGAGGUACUGGGAGUUAGGUCCUGAACAUAUGAAUUGUGGGGAGCGGGAGACACAAUGAAGUCUGUAGCAACAACUGCAGGAAUGAGACUUGAACUUGGCCUGUUUGAGGGGGUAUGGUCCUCCUUUGCAAUGAGGCCUCAUGCAAAGGAACAGCCAUGAGCACCAGGUCCCUGAAAUGGAUGGUACUGCCAUCCACUUGCUAGGAUGGAUGGACCUGCCAUGCAAACUUCCAUCAGUAGUACAGCUGUUCAGGAGUUCCCAUCAUGGCUCAGCACUGACUAGUAUCCAUGGACGCAGGUUUGAUCCCUGGCCUUGCUCAGUGGGUUAAGGAUCCAGUGUUGCCAUGAGCUGUGGUGUAGAUCACAGAUGCCGCUGGAUCUGUGGCUGUGGUGUAGGUUGGCAGCUGCAGCUCCAAUUUGACCCCUAGCCUGGGAACCUCCAUAUGCCACGGAUGCAGCCCUAAAAAGCAAAAAAAAAUGAAAGGGGGGGGAGGGCUACCUCUGUGGGACUGUGGCCAGGAUGCUGGAAGGAUGGUAAAGAAAGGUGACCCAGUUAUCAAUACCUUGGCUCGUUAGACUCACAAAUUAGGGGAUCUUAGAGAUAUUCUCCCCGUGGGGACCAGGGGAGGGGGGACAUGAGAGCCUCUGGGUUGUCCAAUCCCCCUUUCUUGGCUCUAACUCUUAACUCUACCGCUUAUGGCUGUGUGACUGCUGAUAAAUCACUCCAACACUCUGAGCUCCAGUUUUCCCAUGGGUAAAGUGGAGGUGGGAAGGCUGACCCCCGAAGCUUUAGGAGGAUCUUACAGAAGCAAACAUGGGAAAUUAACUAGUGCCAUGCUUAUUUCACACCAGGCCUACAGCGAUGUGUGAGGGAUCUGAAUCUGAUUCUAGAAGCAUACCUUAUGUUGCAAGAAUGAAACAGAGAAAUUCCCAAAGCAUCAUCUGGGAGGCUCACAGUAAUAUUGAGAUUCAAAGGCCCAACCCUGAACUCCUGAGCCAGCACUUCCUGGCACAGAGCUGGCAAUGCACUUUUUUUUUUUUUUUAAGCUUUUUAGGGCCGCAACUGCAGCAUAUGGGAGUUCCCAGGCUAGGGAUCGAAUUGGAGUGGUAGCCACUGGCCUACACCACAGCCACAGCAAUGCCAGACAGAUCCGAGCCACAUCUUUGACCUACACCACAGCUCAUGGCAACGCUGGAUCCUUAACCUACUGAGCAAGGCCAGGGAUCAAACCCGCAUCCUCAUGGAUACUAGCCAGUUUCGUUUCCACUGCGCCACAACAGGAACCUCCCAGUGCACAUUUCAACAAGCCCUGAGAGAUGGCUGGUACACUCAACUAAAGUUUGAGAAUCACAGACCCGACUUGGGGAAAUGAGCAUCAUUGGCGCCCUUGCAAACUGUGGACUCAUCCAAGUCCACAGCUCCUUCUGUCUGGACAGGAACACAAAUGCCCUCAUUCUCCUUCUAGACCUGGAGAGACACACCGUCACUCCCACAGCGGGCUUCACUCAAGGGUGUCUUGUAAUUUCCUGGUUUCCACAAAAGUCACGAUGCAGGCAGCUGUCAGCACUGCCUGUAGCCAAAGCUCUGCUGUCCAGGCUGAUGUGGCCUUGAUCUCCAUUGCACCAGCCCUGGAAAAUCACAGAAGGACAAACAGCCAAGGCCGUGUCUGGAAAGAAACCUGUGCUUCCAGGUCUAAGGCGACUGUCUUUAACCACUACGUUUUUUACCACGAAAGUUCAGAAGUGCUCCAGUUUCCAUCUAUAUGGUCACCUUUGGUAUGUCUUAUGGUGAUUUUUUUUUUUUUACCUUUACAUAGAGUGAACCUUGUGUGGGAGGAAAAAGAUGCUAAUAGCAUAAUAGCUGAGUCCUUUGGGUUCAGAGCAAGAAAGGUUUACUAUCUAUUUUCAAUGGUUAUUUGUUCCGAAAAAAAUUUUUUUUCUGAUUAUUCAAGUUACAGAUACACUUUGUAGAAAUUUGGGGAAAUUCUGAAACAUCCUAAAAAGGGAGGAGUUUCCAUCGUGGCACAGCGGAAAUGAAUCUGACAAGGAACCAUAAGGUUGCAGGUUCGAUCCCUGGCCUCGCUCAGUGGAUUAAGGAUCUGGCAUUGCUGUGAGCUGUGGUGUAGGCCACAGUUGCAGCUUGGAUCCCGCAUUGCUGUGGCUGUGGUGGAGGCCGGCAGCUGUAGCUCUAAUUUGACCCCUAGCCUGGGAA